Molecule: long non-coding RNA, 1709 nt
Organism: Bubalus bubalis (water buffalo)
Lineage: Eukaryota; Metazoa; Chordata; Mammalia; Artiodactyla; Bovidae
Exons: 3
Source: RefSeq, a predicted model, not a curated record
AAGACCCUGAUGCUGGGAAAGAUUGAAGGCAGGAGGAGAAGGGGACGAUAGAGGACGAGAAGGUUGGAUGCCAUCGCCAACUCCACAGACAUGAGUUUGAGUAACCUCUGGGAGUUGGCAAUGGACAGGGAAGCCUGGCGUGCUGCAGUCCAUGGGGUCACAAAGAGCCAGAAAUGACUGAGCGACUGAACUAAAAGCCUUUGGGGAACAUUUGGCAGAAAACAACUAAAUUCUGUAAAGAAAUUAUCCUUCAAUUAAAAAAAAAUCAGAAAAAAAAAAAAAAAAGCCUUUGGGGCCUCUGAGUCCUUUAAGCACAAGCUGCCUGAACUUCUGGCCAGGUCCUAUAAUAAAUGCUGAACUUUUCUUUCCAACACCCUGGCAUCAAUAGGUUGGCUUUUUUUUUUAAUUGGAGAAUAAUUGCUUUACAGUGUUGUGUUGGUUUCUGCAAUACAGCAACAUGAAUCAACCACAAGUAUACCUAUGUCCCAUCCCUCUUGAACCCCUCCCCCACCCCUCUAGGUUGUCACAGAGUACCGAGUUGAGCUCCCAGUGUGGCCUGAUUGAUUCCCCCACUCCUACCCCAGCAGACCCUAGUUUGGUUUGGUGACAGCUGGUGCAGGUACUAAAUUAAUCUUCACAAAUGCCAGGGAAGGAGAGUUUAGAACCCCCAUUUGAUCUAAGCAACCGAGGUUUUACAAGGUUAACCAACUGGCCCACGAUACUUAGACGCUCAGUGGUGGACUGAGACACCGGUCCCAAGUGUGACUGCAGAGCUCAGCUUUUGGAAAAGACCACCGCAAGGACAGAGUCGUGGGGACAAGAAGAAACUGUAGAAAUACAGUGAGGUGGAAAGAGUGCUGGACUUGGAGUCUCAGGACAAGCUUCAUCCUCUGCGAAGGCCAGUGCCUUGCUGCUGCUCCAUAGCCUGGAGACACCACUCACCAUCACCGUCUUGAAGGGUGAACUGAGGAAGGGGUCAGAGUCACCCUCACCUCUGUCCCCAGCCCUGGCCUGUGCCACCUCUGAUGCACUUGGUUUCAAAAUAAGAAAGAAUGCCAUUGUAAUAAGCCACUUCAAAGCAUGAUGCCUCUGGAGAUAUGAAUUAAAUAUUUUUCGAGCAAUUAGGCCCUGUGGAGAAUGGAAUGACCACUGCUGUUCCUAGAAUAAUAUGAAGAGGGUCACAGAGGACAAGAACAGGAAGACAGGCCCGUGAUGCUGGCCUGUGCCCUCAGCUCCUACCCUGGCCCUCCCGCCUUGCUGUGUGGGCGGCGUGGCUGGUAGAGACAGGCCACCCAGGAGUGGACUCCGUGUGUGCAUCUUCAGAACUGAUCUGACCUCCAGUUGGGUUUAAACACCACUGAGCCAGAAGACCAACAGCCUUUGCCAGCUGAGUGCGAGCAUAUGUUGAUGCUCAAAAGUUUAGAAUUUCUGCAUUUGGUGUAAAGUCAGGAAUCAUCACUUUGAUGUUUUCUUUUUUUUGCUGCCUCUCAGGCCUCUCCUUUUCAGUUCCUCUUGCUCCCCUUCUUUCCUUCCCUUUUCUUUUUUAGCCUGCCUCACAUCCUCCUUGCUCAGACAUUGGAUUUUCUUGGGAUUCUCAUUCAUACUAUUCCAUUCAUGGUAUCCAGGGUUAAUAUAAUUUCUGAUCUCAGGGUUAGAGCCAUUAAAUUGGAAACUUAAUGUUCUUGGGCCACUAGAAGGAUGUUGGUCCC